This is a non-coding RNA of Chlorocebus sabaeus (green monkey), 305 nucleotides long. It matches the Rfam family "Metazoan signal recognition particle RNA". Rfam says of the family: The signal recognition particle (SRP) is a universally conserved ribonucleoprotein. It is involved in the co-translational targeting of proteins to membranes. Lineage: Eukaryota; Metazoa; Chordata; Mammalia; Primates; Cercopithecidae. The record is from Rfam.
GCCGGGCGCGGUGGCUCAAGCCUGUAAUCCCAGCACUUUGGGAGGCCGAGACGGGCGGAUCACGAGGUCAGGAGAUCGAGACCAUCCUGGCUAACACGGUGAAACCCCGUCUCUACUAAAAAAAAAAUACAAAACCUAGCCGGGCGAGGUGGCGGGCGCCUGUAGUCCCUNNNNNNNNNNAGGGACUACAGGCGCCCGCCACCUCGCCCGGCUAGGUUUUGUAUUUUUUUUUUAGUAGAGACGGGGUUUCACCGUGUUAGCCAGGAUGGUCUCGAUCUCCUGACCUCGUGAUCCGCCCGUCUCGG